CGAUGAGCAUGACUCAGGCCAUCCUAUUUAAGCACUCGCUUCUGUCGUUUGCCUUUUCUCUCCUCAACCGUAGGCACAUGCGGACCCAUCAUAGGACACGGACUACCGCUUACUUGAUUAUUCACCCUAUCUCCUGCCAAGAACGACAGAUUAAUGGAUAACGGCAAGUUCUUACCUCAGCUUUUAAAACUAUACAUCUGGAUACAACAGCUAAUAAGAAAGGAA
Molecule: long non-coding RNA, 225 nt
Filed under: Rattus norvegicus (Norway rat)
Lineage: Eukaryota; Metazoa; Chordata; Mammalia; Rodentia; Muridae
Description: long non-coding RNA NONRATT032001
Source: RNAcentral